Non-coding RNA from Nelumbo nucifera (sacred lotus), 967 nucleotides. Lineage: Eukaryota; Viridiplantae; Streptophyta; Magnoliopsida; Proteales; Nelumbonaceae. The record is from RefSeq and is a predicted model, not a curated record.
AUCGAUCCCGAGGUGAAAAGCAACUUCGGUUUUCUCGAAGUAAAACUUUACUCCCGCCCUUCAUCAAGGGAAAAAGGCGAGGAGUUUACCCUCGUCCACCACCAGCACGAUGCAGUCGAGUAAUGGCGACUUCCGAUUCAAGUUUACCCUCAUCUGAGUGUCUGUUUGAGUGUUCGAGGCUCUAGAUAUUUUCCCAUUCAAGUCGUUGGCGACGUCUACAUUCGAUAUGAGAGUUUGUGUAUCUAAAUCUGCAUCAAUAGCCAAGUAAUAGACGCUGAUGCUGGUCUGCGUCGAUCUGAGUUUACCCUCUCCAGUCCACUCAUUCUAGUGCUGAUCUGCAACUAUCUCUCUCCGACAGGCGACAGCUUUCUCUCUGACAUUUCUCUCUCCAGUGGCUUUCUCUUUCCAAUGGCUAUCUCUCUUCUGCGAACUGUGAUCAAUAAUCCAAAGACACAAAAUCAUUGUAAUAGCUUUGGAGGCUCAGUGUCAGUACACGUGGACGGAACCCCACUAGUUGAAUGGUUUAGGUGAAGUCAUUUGCCAGCCAAUGACUUCAGUUUCAGCUUCAAAAGUGCUGGUGACGUCUGUUCACCAGCACUUCAGCCAGACAACUGGACACUGAUGUCAUGGGCUCAUGGCCCACUUUUGAAUGAAUUCAACAUCGACAGUAUUGGAAAUUUGAGAGACGUCACCAGCACUUUUGAGUGUACAUAUAUGCCAUGUACACCUUUGAAAAUUUGAAAUUUUAGAAGUGUUGGACCAGUUGAAUUAUGACUCGGGCCCUUUGCCGGUUUGGUUACACCCAAUAACUGUAGUUGCUAAAAGUUGCUAAAAACUAAAUGAAAACCGAUUGACUGGCCAAUUUAAUUGGAAAACCGGUGAACUAGUCUUGGUUUCAUGAAACUGCUUGGGCAGUUGGGCCUUUGAAUAAUUGAAAUUUUAAAAGUGUCGUGACUUUUUAUUUUCA